AGAGUUUGAUCCUGGCUCAGGACGAACGCUGGCGGCGUGCUUAACACAUGCAAGUCAAGGGGAACGGUGGGCUUCGGUUCACUUAGUAUACUGGCGAACGGGUGAGUAACGCGUAGGUGACCUGCCCUUAGGAACGGGAUAACACUGCUAACGCGGUGCUAAUACUGAAUAAGGCAAUGAGUGUAGAAUUUAUUGUUAAAGCGGGGUUUUCGGACCUCGUGCUUAAGGAUGGACCUGCGUCCCAUUAGUUAGUUGGUAGGGUAACGGCCUACCAAGGCUACGAUGGGUAGCCGACCUGAGAGGGUGGGCGGCCACACUGGGACUGAGAUACGGCCCAGACUCCUACGGGAGGCAGCAGUGAGGAAUAUUGCGCAAUGGAGGAAACUCUGACGCAGCAACGCCGCGUGUAGGAUGAAGCUUUUAGGAGUGUAAACUACUGUUAGAAGGGACGAAUAAUUGUAUUUCGAACAGGGAUACGAGAUGACGGUACCUUCAGAGGAAGCCCCGGCUAACUCCUUGCCAGCAGCCGCGGUAACACGGGGGGGGCUAGCGUUGUCCGGAAUUAUUGGGCGUAAAGGGCGCGUAGGCGGGCUGAUCAGUCUGAGGUUAAAGUCCACGGCUUAACCGUGGCAGGUCCUUGGAUACUGUCAGUCUUGAGUUCGGAAGAGGGAAGCGGAAUUCCUGGUGUAGCGGUGAAAUGCGUAGAUAUCAGGAAGAACACCGGUGGCGAAGGCGGCUUUCUGGUCCGCAACUGACGCUGAGGCGCGAAAGUGUGGGGAGCGAACAGGAUUAGAUACCCUGGUAGUCCACACAGUAAACGAUGGAUACUAGGUGUUGGGUUGUAAUGAUUCAGCGCCGGAGCAAACGCAUUAAGUAUCCCGCCUGGGGAGUACGAUCGCAAGAUUGAAACUCAAAGGAAUUGACGGGGGCCCGCACAAGCGGUGGAGCAUGUGGUUUAAUUCGAUGCAACGCGAAGAACCUUACCUGGGCUUGAAGAGGUGCUGACCUAUUCUGAAAGGGAUAUUUCCUUCGGGACAGCAUUAGAGGUGCUGCAUGGCUGUCGUCAGCUCGUGUCGUGAGAUGUAGGGUUAAGUCCCGCAACGAGCGCAACCCUUGCCCUUAGUUGCCAUCAGGUAAAGCUGGGAACUCUAAGGGGACUGCCCCGGCUAACGGGGAGGAAGGUGGGGAUGACGUCAAGUCCUCAUGGCCCUUACGUCCAGGGCUACACACGUGCUACAAUGGCCGGAACAACGGGCAGCGAGACAGAGAUGUUGAGCGAAUCUUAAAAAACCGGUCUCAGUUCGGAUUGGAGUCUGCAACUCGACUUCAUGAAGUCGGAAUCGCUAGUAAUCGCGGAUCAGCAUGCCGCGGUGAAUACGUUCCCGGGCCUUGUACACACCGCCCGUCACGCCAUGGGAGUCGGUAGCGCCCGAAGCCGGUGGCCCAACCCGCAAGGGAGGGAGCCGUCGAAGGUGAGACCGAUAACUGGGGCGAAGUCGUAACAAGGUA
This 1509-nucleotide ribosomal RNA is filed under the name metagenome. Its description in RNAcentral is "bacterial SSU rRNA". It matches the Rfam family "Bacterial small subunit ribosomal RNA". The record is from RNAcentral.